RNAcentral lists this unclassified non-coding RNA (3884 nucleotides) under Hevea brasiliensis (rubber tree). Lineage: Eukaryota; Viridiplantae; Streptophyta; Magnoliopsida; Malpighiales; Euphorbiaceae. The record is from RNAcentral.
UGGCAAGUCAGCCUUUUUAAGUGGAAUUUCUAAAUUAUAUGCGAUAUUGUCUUUGUGAAAUUUCAUACUCAGCAUAGCGUACAGGAACUUCAUAAUGUGAUUAUAUUGUACAUAUUCAUGUUAGCUCACCACGGAGGACUAGUGAGACAUGUCUGACAGCUCUAGAGACUCUCCAAACUUCAUGUUGUACAUAGUGCCAUGACUCUGGAGUUUUGAGCUUCUUUGCCUUGUCAAUGGCAUCAUCAAUUCCAGGAAAGGACUUGGAUCCAUAGUCAUUAUGCUUUGAGGGUGCGUAUAUCUGCAGAUCUUGGAAAUAUUAGCUUGGUCGUUCUGGUUAGUUGUAAUUGAGCCUGACUUUACUCGGCUUACUCCGUCAUAUAUAAAAUUUGAUGUUUUGAACAUUGGGAGUUCACCAAAAAAUUACAUUGUGUAUGCUAUAUAAAGAAAAGAAAAUGGAAAGCAUGGAAAAUAACUUGAUUAGUAAUUCAAGAGUCAUUUAAGUUGAAACGUACCAAAUGCUUAUUCCAUGGCCUCCCAGAGAGUCCAUCUUGGUCUGUAAAUGCUCGUUCUGCCAUCAUGAGUCUGUCAUUGAGUUCUCUCACUCUUAAAUGGUCUUUCUUCAAUAUUGAUCCCCAGCCUCUGAUUUCUUCUAUUGCCUGGAGAAUUAUACUUCUCUAAUUUGACUUUUUUAGAAAUCCUUUUUUAUGUCAAUUUUGAGAUACAACUUUUGACAUACCUUUCUCUCAUUAUAUAUUUUGGUGGCUGCUUUUGUUAGAUCGUCAAUGGACUUGAAUAAGGGAUCAAGGCGUAUGCCUUGAUCUGAGAUCUCAUCUUCCAAGUCCUUUGCACUUUUCUGUUGUAAACUUUUGACAUUAAACACAAAGUUGUGAACUGUAUUCAAUGUUUUUUUCUAACCAUUGCAACAUAGACAUACCUGGAGCUCAUAUGCAUAGGAGAGAUAAUUAAAAGGUAAAAACUCCUCAUCUGCUAACUGAAGAGCAACCAAACCCCAAACACUAGCCACUGUUUUUUCAAGGACAGAGUUAAGAGAGAGGAAAUAUGUGGCAAAAUUAUAAAUUGAACUAUUUGGGACAAUUGAAUUAACAUUUUAGAUUUGCUUCUGUGAUUCAAAACUUGGUGCAAAUACGAUAUGUGGUUUGUAAUUUGAGCUGCUUAAAAAUGCUUCAACUUCAAUAUCCUUUCUCUAUAUGUAUAAUUGCAUAUUCUGUAACCGACAAACUAUAAGUAAACAAUAUUUUGCACUGUUAUUUGGAAUAAAUUCUGAUAUUUGUAAUUGUAGCUGUUAGAUAGAAGUUUGAUGACAAACCUGCGAUGUGUCUUUGAAACAUGGGGUCACCAAACUUCUUCAUCCAGACGAAGUCAUCGUACAUUGAGUGGUAUACUGGGUACCCUAUGGUUGAUCAUUAGUAUUGGUUAGGCAUGAGAGAUGUCAAUCUGUGUCAUUCAUCAAUUUUCAAUGCUUAGCUAAAGCAACAUUGGAAAGCUUAUCCAGCAGGAAAUGACUUUAGGCUGAAGUUAAUCAAAGUGCCUUGCUAUAAUAAUGAGCGUCUAAAAAGAAUAUCAAAUAUCGUAGAUAUUUACUACUAGAAGGUGCUGAAGGAAAAUACGGGCCAUUUGGUAUGCCUACAUAGUUGAAGUUAACAAAGUUACCUCUUCCAUAAGAUAAAUCAGCUGAUGCAACACCGAUAUGUUGCACAAAAGCUGCAUAAUCUGACCCUCCACCACCCAAUCUCUCAAUCUUCAUUUGCAGGGUACAUAUUCAUGAGCGUCAGAUAGUUGACUUAUGAAAAAAAGCUUACAAGGUUCAUAUGAUGAGAAUCAUCUUCUAUCUGUAAUUUUUUGUUCUAUGGAAAAAUAAUUUGUUUUACUGGUAACUGGAAUGUAGUUUAUCUUGCGUAGAAUGUUCAUCAUGAUCAAAUUAUCAAAGAGCUAAUAUGAGAUUUGAUUAGUUAUGCUUACCACAGGAGAGCCGCUGGAACUAACCCAUGACUCAUAGAUGGUUCGUGAUGAGUUAUCAGGGUCUUGAACCUUCAAAAAGAUGAGCAGUUAAUCUUAUUGUGAUAAGUGCGAGGAAUUACUUGGUAAAAAUGUAAUCUAGAAUAUCAUAUAUAUUUUACCAUAUGUUCUUAUUUUAGUUGUUUCUGAAGUUGCUUUAUAUCUUACGAAAAAUGAUAUGUGAAAUAUAUUUCCUUUUUUUUUUUUAUCAUUGCUUGAUUGCUUUUGCCCGCUUGUGAUGACAUUUAGUUCUUAUUUGUAUACCUGUUUAGUAGCCUGUAUGAGUAGUUCAUCAAGUUGAGGAGUUGCAGAGCCAUGAAAUUCUGCUCCAGACACUGCAGAAUCAACAUUCAAGUAGGCUACGGCCCUUGAAGAUAGCAUCUCUCUGUUGUCUUCUACCCAUUCGGUUGAUCCUAUCAGGCCAUAUUCCUCUGCGUCCCAAUUGCACAGGACAAUUGUUCUUCGAGGUUUCCACCCUCUUUUCUGUAGCUUUUCAAAUCUUUGAGCAACCUCUAGCAGUGUUGCCGUGCCACUGUUGGGAUCAACAGCUCCAAAUGUCCAUGCAUCCCGAUGAUUACCCAGAAGGACAAAUCGAUCAGGUUCUUCUGCUCCUUCUAUUACACCAAUAACAUUAUGAAUUGUUGCAAUAGUUUGCUUCCCAGUAUAACUGAGGUUUAGAACCCCUGGCCCUGGUCCAACCCUAUAAGUUGGACCAUCUUUGCUUCCUUGCCAAUCCUCGUUAGCCACUUGUCCGCCCAUUGAUCUCAUGACUGUUUCACCGUCGGAUGCUGAUAUUGGCAAAGACGGUAUCAAUGGAACAAACCCUUCUUUUUCUACUUCCUCACCUGAUAGCCUCUCACAUCCUUGGAUACUUGCCCAUCCAGGGGUGGUGGGAUCACCAGCUCCAUCAUAAACAGACCCUACCUGGACCCCGCUUGGAGGCAUCCACUUGGCGUCCGGAAACCAUCCUCCACUUGCUCCACCGCCAUAGUCUUUCCUGUCUGUGUAGAUGACUGUCCCUAUAGCACCUGCCUCAAAUGCAUUCUGCACUAUGUCUCCUCUAUAUAUCUGUCCGUACCUUGCCAACACAACUGUUCCGGAUACGUUCACGCCUAUUUUUUUCAAUGUAGUGUAGUCCUCCACUCGUCCAUAAUUUACAUAAACCACAGGUCCACUUACAGUUCCUGACUUUGCAUAGGCAUGAAAGGUAGGUAGAACUUCAUUUGCCACAUCUGCAUAUGGAUCCCCAUCAUAUAUCUGCUGAUGGAGAUCGAAUAUGAUCGGUUGUUCUGGAGGUGGGUUUGUUAGAGUUAAGGAACGAGAAACAGGAUAUGUCAGGGACACAUCAUAGGAGGUUUUAUGAGAUUUAAUGUUGCAAGAAGCAAAAGUGGACAGAACAUAUUCUGCAUCCUCAGCGUUGGCUUCCGUUCCAGCAACAUGGGGCCGACGGGUGAGCAUGUAGAGGUGGUGUGAUACGGAUGCAUUGUCGGAUAGGGAUUUGGAUAUGUAGAGGGAGUGAUAGUAGGAUUUUGGAGGAGAAGAGAAGAGCAAGCUGAAAGAUAUCGCUAUGGAUACGAGGAUAGAGGCGGCUGUUUUGAACAUGGAGCUUAGUGUUUAGGAGAUGUUUCCUGAAUGUUGUUGAGGCUAUUUUGGAGGUGUGUUUUGAGGCUUUGAAUGAUUUAGCAGAGAGAGAAGGAGAGAGAUUAUUUGACCUAUUACAUCUACACAUAAUAAUCAGUUUCUUGAAUUGAUAAUGAUAUAAUAAAGAAACGUUAUAUUCUGCUUUGGAAUGACAUUAAACUUGUAUUUAUUUAUUUAUUUCAUCUGCUAUUUGGCAUUAAAUAGAGGCAAUAUAUGAUGAUGUGCUG